AUGGAGGCGGCGGCCGCAAGGGGCCUGGAGCUGGCCGGCCCGCUCCGCGACCUCCUCCCGCCGGUGGACUUCUGCUGCGCGUACGGCUCCACCCUCACCCACGCCCGCCCCGACGGCACCUCCAUGGUCGAGUACAUCCUCGGCGUCGCCGACCCCCUCCAGUGGCACUCCGAGGUAGGCUAG
RNAcentral lists this ribosomal RNA (183 nucleotides) under Triticum aestivum (bread wheat). Its description in RNAcentral is "partial small subunit ribosomal RNA". The record is from RNAcentral. Lineage: Eukaryota; Viridiplantae; Streptophyta; Magnoliopsida; Poales; Poaceae.